CAAUAGCGUAUAUUAACGUUGCUGCAGUUAAAAAGCUCGUAGUUGGAUUUCUGGAGGGAGCGUCGGCCCGUAUUUACGAGUGCGUGACGUCUCUGUCCAUCCUUGCGGGAAGGCACGGCAUUGAUUUGUUGUGUCGGAUCGCAUCAUUUACUGUGAAAAAAUUAGAGUGUUCAAAGCAGGCUUUCGCUUGAAUACAUUAGCAUGGAAUAAUAAGAUAGGACUUUGGUGCUGUUUUGUUGGUUGAGCCUAAAGUAAUGAUUAAUAGGGAUAGUUGGGGGCACCUGUAUUGCGUUGUCAGAGGUGAAAUUCUUGGAUUUACGCAAGACAAACAGCUGCGAAAGCGUCUGCCAAGGAUGUUUUCAUUAA
This 366-nucleotide ribosomal RNA is filed under the name uncultured eukaryote. Its description in RNAcentral is "partial 18S ribosomal RNA". It matches the Rfam family "Eukaryotic small subunit ribosomal RNA", at positions 592 to 976 of the family's 1831-position model. The record is from RNAcentral.